GCCGCGGUGGUGGAACUGGCAGACACGCACGGUUCAGAGCCGUGUGACCGCAAGGUCGUGAGAGUUCAAAUCUCUCCCGCGGCA
This 84-nucleotide transfer RNA is filed under the name Candidatus Buchananbacteria bacterium RIFCSPHIGHO2_01_FULL_46_12. RNAcentral describes it as "tRNA-Leu". It matches the Rfam family "tRNA". Rfam says of the family: Transfer RNA (tRNA) molecules are approximately 80 nucleotides in length. RNAcentral also lists the same sequence under 1 other name. Lineage: Bacteria; Candidatus Buchananiibacteriota. The record is from RNAcentral.